RNAcentral lists this ribosomal RNA (253 nucleotides) under uncultured bacterium. RNAcentral's name for it is "partial 16S ribosomal RNA". It matches the Rfam family "Bacterial small subunit ribosomal RNA", at positions 524 to 776 of the family's 1533-position model. The record is from RNAcentral.
UACAGAGGUCGCAAGCGUUGUUCGGAUUCAUUGGGCGUAAAGGGUGCGUAGGCGGCGCGGUAAGUCGGGUGUGAAAGCUUGGAGCUUAACUCCGAAACUGCAUUCGAUACUGCCGUGCUUGAGGACUGGAGAGGAGACUGGAAUUUACGGUGUAGCGGUGAAAUGCGUAGAUAUCGUAAGGAAGACCAGUGGCGAAGGCGGGUCUCUGGACAGUUCCUGACGCUGAGGCACGAAGGCCAGGGGAGCAAACGGG